This is a small nuclear RNA of Suncus etruscus (white-toothed pygmy shrew), 103 nucleotides long. The record is from RefSeq and is a predicted model, not a curated record. NCBI's taxonomy places the organism in Eukaryota, Metazoa, Chordata, Mammalia, Eulipotyphla, Soricidae.
GUGCUCGCUUUGGCAGUGCAUAUACUAAAAUUGGAACAAUACAGAAAAGAUUAGCAUGGCCCUGCACAAGGACACGCACAUUUGUGAAGCAUUCCAAAUUAAA